This 200-nucleotide unclassified non-coding RNA is filed under the name Pleosporales sp. RNAcentral describes it as "partial internal transcribed spacer 2". The record is from RNAcentral. Lineage: Eukaryota; Fungi; Ascomycota; Dothideomycetes; Pleosporales.
UUAAGUUCAGCGGGUAUCCCUACCUGAUCCGAGGUCAAGCGUAAAAUGGUAGACUUGUGGAUGCCACCGCUCGACGCAGCGGAGAGCGCAAAAUGUGCUGCGCUCCCACACGGGACGGCGGGCUGCCAAUGCAUUUGAGGCGAGUUCACGCGCGCAGCGGAACAAAACGCCCAACACCCAGCAGGGCUGGAGGGUACAAA